This 29-nucleotide non-coding RNA is filed under the name Rattus norvegicus (Norway rat). The record is from RNAcentral. Lineage: Eukaryota; Metazoa; Chordata; Mammalia; Rodentia; Muridae.
UGGGAAAACCCNCAAAGGCCUAACCGAGC